Molecule: non-coding RNA, 1436 nt
Organism: Lonchura striata (white-rumped munia)
Lineage: Eukaryota; Metazoa; Chordata; Aves; Passeriformes; Estrildidae
Source: RefSeq, a predicted model, not a curated record
UUUGUCAGGUGCUGGUACCACCUCUGAAAUGCUGAUGGAUUUGCUCCUCCAAAGUUCCUGUUUGUUGACAGCUCUCAGAGCAAAUCCCUUCUGUUUGUUAUGAGUUGCCCAGGGGGAAAUAUCUGUGUGGACACGUUUGUGACUGCAGCUCUGGAGCGGGGGCUGCCCAUCUGGUAUCACCUUGCAGCAUGUAAAUAGCUUGGGCUGGCUGUAAAUAGCUUGGAGUGGCAAAAUCCUGAGAGCUGCAGGGCUGCAGAAAGCAACCUCUCUUUAUAUAUCAGCUUGGAACUGCUGGAAACAAUCUGUCUGCACAGGUGGUCCACUUCAACAUUCAGCAAAUACUUGAGAUCACAAUUGCAUCCUUUCUCUUUUGCUUACUCACUUUCCUUCUUUGCCACGGAGAAGAAAAUAUUUCCUGCUUUGCCACAGAGAAGAAAAGAUUUCAAGACUGGUGGUUUUGUAAUCCCUGGCAUCUGAGGAAGGAUUCCUGGUUGCUGAACCUGAUGUAACUGCGCAGAUGGACCAGGAAGAAGAGCAAGAAGAGCCUUGGAGGAGACACACAUGGGUGGUGAGCUGGGGCCCCUUCCAGAUCACCUUGAAUGCACAUAUCUGCAGGACGUGCUGGCAGCAGGCUCCAGAGGAGGAGAGGAGCAGUUUGGGGACAGCAUGGGAGUCAGCGUGGUUGCUCAGAGGCCCAGCAAGGUGGCUGUGAGGAGGGAAAGGAGGUUUAGCUGCCCUGCUCUGACAUCAGCCCGGUGAAAAGGUGGGUGAGAAGGGCGGCAGCUUCACGGUAAGUCCCUCACAUGGAGCAUCCGACCAUCUGCUCCGAGUGCAUCUAGGGCUUCAGCCAGUGCAUCUACUGGUCCAGCACCAGCGCACGCACACCGGGGAACGCUCCUUCCUGUGCAGGGCCUGCGGCAAGGCCUCCAGCCAGAGCUCCCACCUCAUCCACCACCAGCACGCCCACACAGGCCAGAAGCCCUGCACCUCCACAAGUGCAGCAAAGCCUUCAGCCAGAGCUCCAGCCUCCUCAAGCAGCAGCGCGUCCACACAGGGCUCAAGCUGUACACAUGCAGCGAAUGCAGGAAGUUCUUCAGUUCUUCCGCAGCAGCUCCACCUGCAUCAAGCACCAGUGCAUGCACACGGGCCAGCGGCCCUACAAGCAUGCAGCCUGCAGGAAGGGCUUCGGCCAGCACCGCCACCUCCUGCAGCCCUGCGGCCAUGGGCAGUGCGGGAAGCGCUUCAGGCAGAGCUCCAACCUCAUCAACCACACGCACACCUCUUGGGGUCUGGGUGUUGGGAUGACCCCAAGAUUGUAAAAGUCCUUGUUUCCCAGUCCAUGCCAAAGAAGGAGUCUGAAUGCAUAGGACUGGCUUCUCAAGGUUGUUUCUUUUUCCUUAUCUAUAACAUUCUUUCUCUGACCUGCUGAGUUCUGU